GUCCACGCCGUAAACGAUGGGUGCUAGACGUUGGCGAGCUUGCUCGUCAGUGUCGCAGCUAACGCGUUAAGCACCCCGCCUGGGGAGUACGGCCGCAAGGUUGAAACUCAAAGGAAUUGACGGGGGCCCGCACAAGCGGUGGAGCAUGUGGUUCAAUUUCGACGCAACGCGCAGAACCUUACCAGCCCCUUGACAUGGGACUCGCCGGGAGCAGAGACGCUCCCUUCGGUUCGGCCGGAGUCCGCACAGGUGCUGCAUGGCUGUCGU
This 267-nucleotide ribosomal RNA is filed under the name uncultured bacterium. RNAcentral describes it as "partial 16S ribosomal RNA". It matches the Rfam family "Bacterial small subunit ribosomal RNA", at positions 793 to 1055 of the family's 1533-position model. The record is from RNAcentral.